ACAGGGGGGGCAAGCGUUGUUCGGAAUUACUGGGCGUAAAGGGCUCGUAGGCGGCCAACUAAGUCACACGUGAAAUCCCCAGGCUUAACCUGGGAACUGCGUGUGAUACUGGAUGGCUUGAAUUCGGGAGAGGGAUGCAGAAUUCCAGGUGUAGCGGUGAAAUGCGUAGAUAUCGAGAGGAACACCUGCGGCGAAGGCGGGUUGCUGGGCUGACACUGACGCUGAUGCGCGAAAGCUAGGGGAGCGAACGGGA
This 253-nucleotide ribosomal RNA is filed under the name uncultured prokaryote. RNAcentral's name for it is "partial 16S ribosomal RNA". It matches the Rfam family "Bacterial small subunit ribosomal RNA", at positions 525 to 777 of the family's 1533-position model. The record is from RNAcentral.